This 654-nucleotide long non-coding RNA is filed under the name Vulpes vulpes (red fox). Its description in RNAcentral is "lncRNA (ENSVVUG00000020851.1)". The record is from RNAcentral. Lineage: Eukaryota; Metazoa; Chordata; Mammalia; Carnivora; Canidae.
UUGUUGUCAUAGAAAAAGAAUUAGAUAGAUAGUCACAUUCUAGAAAGAGCAAAGUCAUAAAUACUUCUGUGCUCAAGCUCUCUCAUUAUUCUUGUCUUAGGAGAUGGAUGUCAAGUCAAUCUUUCACAAAUCUCAUUUCAGGUGCCAAGUUUCUUUCAAAGACUCCAAAGGAAAAGAUUUACUUGCAGAUGCUCGGAGAAUACCGUCUCAAGCCCAGGGCGAUGCAUUAUCUAUAGAAGAGCAGCAUAAAGCCAUGAUGUUGAGUUUCCUGCUUUCAUAAGGAAGUCUGCUUUUGGAUCAUCAAGUGUACUGAAAAAUCUGACUCUGUUUACUGCUACAGACUGAGAAUGGUGAAGCAUUAUUAUAACCAAACUAAGAUGAUUUUGGGUAGUCAUGGGGAGUAACUUUCAAAGCCAUGACUCCCCAAGCAAAGGAAAACAUUUCAUGUUCGCAAGAGGAAGUCAAGUCCUUUCUUGAUCACAGACACAACAUCAGAGAGCUCGUAACUUCAUUCAGACCACCAAAAAUACAAAGAUACAAACAUAUCAAAAAGCUUUUGUAUUAUUUCCCAACACAUAGGAAAUCCUCAGUUGAUCUGAGCUCACAAACAGAAAAAUAGGUGGCCUAAUAAAUGAGAUGGUCUCCCAUCCUUCA